Molecule: RNA transcript, 2794 nt
Organism: Juglans microcarpa x Juglans regia
Lineage: Eukaryota; Viridiplantae; Streptophyta; Magnoliopsida; Fagales; Juglandaceae
Gene name: katanin p60 ATPase-containing subunit A1
Exons: 9
Source: RefSeq, a predicted model, not a curated record
UUAAACGUCGCCCAUGGGCCAUCAAGCCCACUGCUCCAUCAAGCAGACUGAACGAGAAACUAGUGAAGAGGGAAAGUUCUAAAGAGUGAAGCUUUCGGACACGGUGAGCUCGCUUCUUCUCUUCUUCUUCUUCUUCGGAAGGAAACCGUAAACUGUUCGGAUUUGGUUUCUCUGCGGAAACCUAGAGAGAGGGAUAGUGAGAGGGAAUGGGAGGGUCUUCACUGUCUGGCUUGCAGGAACACCUGAAAUUGGCGAGGGAGUACGCUCUGGAAGGAGUCUAUGACACCUCCAUUAUCUUCUUCGACGGCGCCAUUGCUCAGAUCAACAAGCACCUAAACACUCUUGAUGACCCUUUAAUUCGUGCAAAAUGGAUGAAUGUCAAAAAAGCCAUUUCCGAGGAAACGGAAGUUGUAAAGCAAUUAGAUGCAGAGAGGAAGGCAUUCAAGGAAAGUCCCGCGGGCCGACGCACUUCUUCACCGCCAAUAAAUGCUAAAUCCUCAUUUGUUUUUCAACCGUUGGAUGAGUACCCAACUUCCUCAGGCGGUGCUAUGGAUGAUCCUGAUGUAUGGCAGCCACCUAAUCGGGAUCCUACGAGUAGAAGACCAGCAAGGGCCGGUCAAGUGGGCAUGAGGAAGUCGCCACAAGAUGGGACUUGGGCUCGCGGUUCCACUAAAACUAAUACAACUGGCCGAGCUCCAAAGGCUGGUGGUUCAAGCAGGGUAAAUUCAGGUGUUCGAGCAUCAACUACUGGAAAGAAAGGCCCUGGUUCUGGCAAAUCUAGUAAGGGAGAUGCGGCGAAUGGUGAUGCUGAAGAUGGAAAGUCAAAGAAGGGACAAUAUGAGGGGCCUGAUCCCGACUUGGCUGCAAUGCUUGAAAGGGACGUGUUGGAAACCAGUCCCGGAGUAAGAUGGGAUGAUGUUGCUGGGCUUAGUGAAGCAAAAAGACUACUAGAAGAAGCUGUUGUGCUUCCUCUAUGGAUGCCUGAGUAUUUCCAGGGAAUUAGAAGACCCUGGAAAGGUGUCCUCAUGUUUGGUCCUCCUGGAACUGGGAAGACACUACUAGCUAAGGCAGUGGCUACAGAGUGUGGCACCACAUUUUUCAAUGUUUCCUCAGCUACAUUAGCUUCUAAGUGGCGUGGGGAGAGUGAGCGCAUGGUGCGGUGCUUGUUUGAUCUUGCUAGAGCAUAUGCGCCGAGUACUAUUUUUAUUGAUGAGAUUGAUUCUCUCUGCAAUGCUCGAGGGGCAUCAGGGGAGCAUGAAUCAUCCAGAAGAGUAAAGUCUGAACUCCUAGUUCAGGUGGAUGGCGUAAACAAUAGUUCCACAGGUGAAGAUGGUGCCCGAAAAAUAGUGAUGGUUUUGGCAGCUACUAACUUUCCAUGGGACAUAGAUGAGGCGUUGAGGAGGCGGCUGGAAAAGCGUAUUUACAUUCCUCUUCCAAAUUUUGAGAGCCGGAAGGAACUUAUUCGGAUCAAUUUGAAAACUGUAGAGGUCGCUCCUGAUGUAAAUAUUGAUGAAGUGGCUCACCGAACAGACGGUUACAGUGGAGAUGAUCUAACAAACGUUUGUCGGGAUGCUUCCUUGAAUGGCAUGAGGCGAAAAAUAGCUGGAAAAACACGUGAUGAGAUUAAGAACAUGCCGAAGGACGAGAUUUCAAAUGACCCUGUUGCCAUGUGUGACUUUGAAGAGGCCUUAGGGAAGGUCCAACGAAGUGUUUCUGCAGCUGACAUAGAAAAGCAUGAGAAAUGGUUUACAGAAUUUGGGUCAGCAUAAACAGGAUCAUGCCUUACUGAAGGUUAAUGUCUAUUCAUUAUACGCUUUUGAUAUGCUUGGCCAAGUCAUUAUGUUGCUGCGACAGGAUCUUGUGAAGCACCAAAUUGCAGAUUGCUUGAGGAGUCUCCACGCACUAACAACGAUAAUGUUGGCAGUGAUCUCUGUCACUUUGGAUUAAAGCGGGUGGGAGCACAGGAGAGAGGUCAAGACGAUGAUCCAACCCAAUAGAUUGUGAUAACAAUUAUUUGAUUCUUAGACCCAUUAACGAACACUCUUUUUACUCAAUAAUUAUAACACAAUUCUAGCUAUUAUAUAUGCAGUUCUAUACAAAAUCUUUUCUUGUCUCGCUUGAAGAUGUUUUGGAAUUGCACCUACUUCUCCACCCAAGUUAGAAAAAUGAUACAAAAUAACCAGAGUCAAGUGUACUCAAGAUCGAGGAACUUCAGAAAUUUGCAGUUCUCGUGCUUUUCACGGAUUCCACAGUGAGAAUAGUAUUUGCAGUUCUCGUGCAUUUCUGUAUUUUUUAACUCAAAAGGACAUGUACUUUUAGGUUCACAGUUCAUACUGUCAUGCCUGAUAAACUAGGUUGGAGUUUUGCAUGCUCCCUAUAUUCAAACUGACAAUGAAAGGAUAGUAAAACUGAGAGCAAAAGUACAGCUAGGGAAUAGUAACAGAUUGAAUGAUGUUCAUUUUGUUGUUAUCUUGGGACGAGUUUUCAAGUCUCUUCGCCCUGCCUAGUUUUUUCAUUUUUGUUCUUUCUAUAUUGUCUCAUUCUCUGCUUCCUUCACUCUGCAGGCCUCUUCUCUGUGCUAUGAUGCUACUUACUCAUAUUAUUUUGGUGUUUUUUUGUUCAUUUUGUUGCCUUCUUUUCACGAACGUCGUCUCAUGCAUGCUUCAGUUUCUUUUUACGGACGUUGGGAUGUAUCGAUAAGUUCAACUGAAGCAUCCUAACAAAUCAAGAUAGAUAUUGAAGUACACAAUAUUUCUAUAUAUAAAUAAUCGGUAUGUGAUUUUUUUUUACUGUA